RNAcentral lists this ribosomal RNA (433 nucleotides) under uncultured bacterium. RNAcentral describes it as "partial 16S ribosomal RNA". It matches the Rfam family "Bacterial small subunit ribosomal RNA", at positions 29 to 507 of the family's 1533-position model. The record is from RNAcentral.
AACGAAGGCUGGCGGCAUGCCUAACACAUGCAAGUCGAACGAGACCUUCGGGUCUAGUGGCGCACGGGUGCGUAACGCGUGGGAACCUGCCCUUAGGUUCGGAAUAACUCCCCGAAAGGGGUACUAAUACCGGAUAAUGUCUUCGGACCAAAGAUUUAUCGCCUUUGGAUGGGCCCGCGUUGGAUUAGCUGGUUGGUAGGGUAAAAGCCUACCAAGGCGACGAUCCAUAGCUGGUCUGAGAGGAUGAUCAGCCACACUGGGACUGAGACACGGCCCAGACUCCUACGGGAGGCAGCAGUGGGGAAUAUUGGACAAUGGGCGAAAGCCUGAUCCAGCAAUGCCGCGUGAGUGAUGAAGGCCUUAGGGUUGUAAAGCUCUUUUACCCGGGAUGAUAAUGACAGUACCGGGAGAAUAAGCUCCGGCUAACUCCGUG